AGUAAAAACAGCGGUUUUACUAUGACUACGCUCAGACAUCAAAUAGCAGGUUUGCAACCAAAAAAAUUCGCUUUGUGCUUCUUUCCUCUUGAUAAUUCACUGGAGCCAUGCAAGACGUCAUUGAUCAAAGAGGGGUCAGCACGUGAGGGAAAAAUGGUUCGGCUUUAUUGCGAUAAGAAAAACCCUGAUUUACCAGCCAAAAUGAUCUUUUUAGAAG
This is a non-coding RNA of Paramuricea clavata, 217 nucleotides long. Lineage: Eukaryota; Metazoa; Cnidaria; Anthozoa; Malacalcyonacea; Plexauridae. The record is from the annotation of a GenBank genome assembly.